RNAcentral lists this ribosomal RNA (254 nucleotides) under uncultured bacterium. RNAcentral describes it as "partial 16S ribosomal RNA". It matches the Rfam family "Bacterial small subunit ribosomal RNA", at positions 524 to 777 of the family's 1533-position model. The record is from RNAcentral.
UACGGAAGGGGCGAGCGUUGUUCGGAAUCAUUGGGCGUAAAGGGCGCGUAGGUGGUUCUGUAUGUCUACCGUGAAAGCGUACGGCUCAACCGUAUUUUGUCGGUAGAAACUGCAGGACUUGAGGCUGGGAGGGGCUGGUGGAAUUUCCGGUGUAGCGGUGAAAUGCGUAGAUAUCGGGAGGAACACCUGUGGCGAAGGCGGCUUCUGGGCCCUACCUGACGCUGAGACGCGAAAGCGUGGGGGAGCGAACCGGG